GUUUGAUCAUAUCUGGAACUGCAUAUGAUUGUUCAAAUCAUCUGGGAUAUCUGCGGGAUCAUAUCUCCUAUGUGCCAUGUCCCUCCAUAUUCAAAAUCCCGAAGUCCUUUGACAUCCUUAUUUAGAUUUUACCUGAAGUACUCGGUUAUACCAAAUUGAGUGAAGGAUCAUGUGAAACAAGUCGUACCUUACAGGACUUCUGUGCCAAAGGAAAUACUGUUGAACAAUCUUCAGCCUACGCUGCAUCUUCAUGUACUUCUCCUCAGGAAUUGAAAGGAGAAUGUUUCUCAAGUCUGUAACAUCUUUCUCCAAAACAAAGACAGAAAAUGAUUCCCAGUCGAAAACUUCAAAGAAAGGAGGCACAUAAUU
RNAcentral lists this unclassified non-coding RNA (369 nucleotides) under Hevea brasiliensis (rubber tree). Lineage: Eukaryota; Viridiplantae; Streptophyta; Magnoliopsida; Malpighiales; Euphorbiaceae. The record is from RNAcentral.